GCUGGGUGCAGUGGUGCACGCCUGUAAUCCCAGCAGCUCAGGAGGCUGAGGCAGGAGGAUUAAAAAUUUGAGGCCAGCCUCAGCAACUUAGCAAGACCCUGUCUCUA
RNAcentral lists this small RNA (107 nucleotides) under Marmota monax (woodchuck). The record is from RNAcentral. Lineage: Eukaryota; Metazoa; Chordata; Mammalia; Rodentia; Sciuridae.